Molecule: RNA transcript, 3412 nt
Organism: Zea mays
Lineage: Eukaryota; Viridiplantae; Streptophyta; Magnoliopsida; Poales; Poaceae
Gene name: membrane-anchored ubiquitin-fold protein 1
Exons: 3
Source: RefSeq, a predicted model, not a curated record
GUGGCGUGCCGCUUCUUUCAUUAUAUUCCCUGAAUGCUCCAGCGUUGACGCCUUGACGGUGGGAACCCCUAUUCUUAGCAGGCAGGUGUGUAAGACAUCUUCAGCAUACCAUCUGGUCCGUCCCUGGAAAUGUCCGGCGUCCAGGAGCAGUUCGAGAUCAAGUUCCGGCUGCCGGACGGCAUCGACAUCGGGCCCAGGCGCUUCCCGCCGGCGUCCACCGUCGCUACGCUCAAGGAGACCAUCAUCGCCCAGUGGCCCAAAGGUGAGUCCCCGCACGUGCGCGCUUCGCUUUCCUUCCCGCUGUCGUGGUUACAGCGCAACGGUGGAGGAGAGAGAGAGAGAAAAAAAAGAGAAAAGAUUGGUUCUUAGCACCGGCGAGUGGCGCUGGAGCUGUGCGAUUGGUAAUUUGGUAUUGGCGCGGCCGUUGCUUUCCUGGGUCGGAUUCUGCUCCUGGAACGCCCACCAUCUAGUUUGGAAUCUUGAGGCGAACCAAAAAGUAAUCUGUCGAGCUUCCUGCCAAGCAUAUUUGGUUGGCGCUAUUACUGCUGGAACUUAUGGUGCUUAGGUUCAAUUAAUUUGCUGGCGUUGCUCAUAUCCAAAUAAAUUUCAUCUAGUUUUUUAUCUGCUAAAUGUGUGUAUGUGUGGUAUGGUGGAGUGGUCUAUCCAAAUUAACUUUGGAGAGACGGCAAUAGGUAUUUGGAGUAACUUUGGAGUAACAAAUAAAGAGCAGUUAGUGCUCCAGCCUCCAGAGCAGUUAGUAAAGUAGAGGAGACCUUACAUUUUAAGUAAGCGUACUUGUAUCUUCCCUUGGAGCAAUGGAGCAGCUGAGGAAGUAGUCAUCCUUGAAGUGAGCGCUACAUUAUAGUUUAGCUACUUUUUAUUUAUUGUUUUACACAUCUUUUAAUGCUCAUUUGUGUCACUCUAGCGCCUACUCCUGAAUUCCUGAUAUGGAUUAAACUUCAUGUGUGGUUAACUGAUUGCAGUGAAAGAAAAAGGCAUACAGGCAUCUGAAUAUCAUGGACCUUACUACCUUUGUAGCGACUAUGCACCAUUCUUUCUUAUGAAAUAUCACAUUUGAAUGAGGGUGGUUCUAACCUCAGCAUUGAACAGAGAACCAGAUCAUAUUAGAAGGAUCGUGUUAGACCAAUUUGUUUGAUAGCAACUUCUGCCCAAGUGCUCUUGUUUUCUUUUGAAGAAAUAAAGAGCCAGUGGGCAGUGGUCCUUCAGGGCUAGGGCUAGAUUGUUGGCUGUCUGAUUUGGCAAUUAGAACUUCUUUGGAUCAGUAGCAAGAGGUGCUUCUGUCUACGUGAGCGCAAAAUUUCUGAUGAUUUGGUGAGAGGUGCUUCAGUCUAUCCUGGCACCAAUUUUCUGAUGAUUUGAGAUCAAGCUGCGUAGCUGAUUAAGGAAUAAGGACUAGCUGCUACACCAGUGUUAGAAGAAUAGUAACGGUAAGGAAGUGUAAUCAGAAGUACUAGAGAUGUCAUGCUCAUACCGCUGAGUAUUGCAUUAAUGCUCCACUUGUAUACAUCUUACACCGACUUAAAAACUGUAUAUAUAUGAAUCACUCCCUGCAAAUGCUUGGCUUCUGUUUGCAAUGGAAGGCCAGGUUACAUUAGCAACAAAGUUACUUUUGUGUUCCUUAUGAACAGAGUAAAAAAAGUUUAAGCUCUUAGACUAUUUAUUAUGUGUGGUCCAACAUAUGUACUUCUACUUGCAGUAUCUAGAGCAACAGCCAAUAAAUACAGCAACAAGAUCAAGUUCUGCUAUUUAAUAUCUAGAGUUGACAAAUAUGUUCUUCAUGAUUCUUUCAACCGAAAUGUCUGGUAUGACUUGUUACAUUACAAGAUCAUAAUCUAUAAAGUCAACUAGAUAAAAAUUGUAAGUGCAUAAUGCAAGUACUGCUUGAUUGAGCAAGUUGUGCCUUGUCUUAAUCGCAUAAUGUUCAACAGCUGAAUAUAUACAUCAUAAUUUAAUUUAACGGGUUUGAUUAAUGUCACAUGAUCUGUUCUAUGUAAGCCUGUUAUAGGCCCAAAUUUAACUGCUAGAACUGGUGCUAAACUAGCUUAUUCUAUAGCGGAAUUUGAUUAGAAUGCUUUGGUGCCAAUACCCAUAGGAAACUAUCAUGACUUGGUUCUUUUUCUCAGGAAAUUGAGAAGAAGUGGUUCAUCUUGAAUCUGAAUCUUAGUUCUGCUUGCUAACUAGAUAUUAGAUACAUGUUUCUGCUUUUGACAUAACCUGUUUUUAAAUGGAUUGUCUCAGAGCUGUUUCCUUAUCCCAGAGAGUAGGGGUAACAGGAUGUGGCAUCUUGUCACAUGGUGCGGAAGAGUGAAGUAGCGAAAGCCGAACUUACUUUUGAAGUUUCAUGGUUCUAGUUGAAUAAUGCAUAGGACAAAGGGAUCACACUAUCAAUCUGCCAAUCUGAUAAGGAGAAAGGUCCUAGGACUGUGAACGAUCUUAAGCUUAUUAACGCUGGGAAGAUACUGGAGAACAACAAAACCCUGUCAGAAUGCAAAAGUCCGAUCUGUGACUUCUCUGGGAUGACAACGAUGCAUGUCGUCGUCCGCGCACCGACUUCAAGCAAACAGUCUGGUAAAAGAGCAGCAACGAAAGCGAAAGGUUUCAGGUGCGGUUGUGCCAUUAUGUGACAGAGAAUGCCAGUUUUCUCCCUUUUUCCGCUCUUGCUGGAGUGUUGUAUCAUGUUUGAGGCGCUUUCUCCUUUUAUUUCCUUUUCAAGUAUUGUGGGUAAGCUUAGGUAUACAAUCACUCAUUUUGGUGCAAGCGUGCAAUCAAACUAUCCAGAGCAUCCAAUCUAGAUCCAACGGUUUCAUAUGGAAGUGGUUAAAAUUAAAAUAGGUACUAUGUUUUAGGUGUAAGGGGUUAAAUAUAAAAUAACAGUCAUCAUUAGAUCUAGAUCGGAUGCACCAGAUCGCUUGAUUGCAUGCUUGCACCAGGAUAAGUGAUGGCAUAGGAUAUUUUCCCGCGGUUAAGUGCCCAUUAAUCACGAGUUUGCAUCGAACACAAAAUUGGAAGGCAGCUUGCUGCUAAUUACCCUUAAUCUUAAGUUAUGCCAAGCACACACAAUUUGAAGGCAGUCAUUAGUGUCUAAACUGCGAUCUUCCAUGAUUUCAGGUUCUCUUCUAUAUUUAUGCUACCCCGGGUGACGUGAUGAACUUUUCGGAACGGCGUUCUAACUGAUCAAUUUACAUUACGUAACACCAAAACCAAUUGUAAUCUGAUAACUAAGGAAGCUUUGGAGGCAGAGGAGCGGGCGUUAGCAGGUUGGUGCAAGGUAGUAAAUAUGUUGACGGGUCGCACAGGACCGGCCGCGGGUGCAGAAGCCGCCGAAAAAUAUGAAACUUUGUUUCGAAGCUUUGCAGCUUUUAUCGUUUUUAAUAAUGAGUUCUGUUUUCAA